AUCAUACUCCCUCCGUCCGGAAAUAUUUGUCAUCAAAAUGGAUAAAAGGGGAUGUAUCUAGAUGUAUUUUAGUUCUAGAUACAUGUUUUUCUACCCGUUUUGAUGACAAGUAUUUUCGGACGGAGGGAGUAGAUA
Triticum aestivum (bread wheat) is the source of this 135-nucleotide non-coding RNA. The record is from Rfam. Lineage: Eukaryota; Viridiplantae; Streptophyta; Magnoliopsida; Poales; Poaceae.